RNAcentral lists this ribosomal RNA (253 nucleotides) under uncultured bacterium. Its description in RNAcentral is "partial 16S ribosomal RNA". It matches the Rfam family "Bacterial small subunit ribosomal RNA", at positions 524 to 776 of the family's 1533-position model. The record is from RNAcentral.
UACGGAGGGUGCAAGCGUUAUCCGGAUUCACUGGGUUUAAAGGGUGCGUAGGUGGGCAGGUAAGUCAGUGGUGAAAUCUCCGGGCUUAACCCGGAAACUGCCAUUGAUACUAUCUGUCUUGAAUACCGUGGAGGUGAGCGGAAUAUGUCAUGUAGCGGUGAAAUGCUUAGAGAUGACAUAGAACACCUAUUGCGAAGGCAGCUUACUACGCCUAUAUUGACGCUGAGGCACGAAAGCGUGGGGAUCAAACAGA